GGAACGUAGUAUAAUGGUAAUACGAAUGACUUUGGAUCAUUAGUUGUAAGUUCGAUUCUUACCGUUCCCGCCA
This 73-nucleotide transfer RNA is filed under the name Bacteriophage sp. RNAcentral describes it as "tRNA-Gln". It matches the Rfam family "tRNA". Rfam says of the family: Transfer RNA (tRNA) molecules are approximately 80 nucleotides in length. Their secondary structure includes four short double-helical elements and three loops (D, anti-codon, and T loops). The record is from RNAcentral.